RNAcentral lists this non-coding RNA (30 nucleotides) under Homo sapiens (human). The record is from RNAcentral. Lineage: Eukaryota; Metazoa; Chordata; Mammalia; Primates; Hominidae.
UGCCCAAGGAGUCGGUGAAGAUCCUCCGGU